Molecule: non-coding RNA, 71 nt
Organism: Podarcis lilfordi (Lilford's wall lizard)
Lineage: Eukaryota; Metazoa; Chordata; Lepidosauria; Squamata; Lacertidae
Source: the annotation of a GenBank genome assembly
GCUCUUGGCUCAGGUGGCAGAGCACAAGACUCUUAAUCUCAGGGUCAUGUGUUUGAGUCUCACGUUGGGCA